This 26-nucleotide non-coding RNA is filed under the name Rattus norvegicus (Norway rat). Lineage: Eukaryota; Metazoa; Chordata; Mammalia; Rodentia; Muridae. The record is from RNAcentral.
UUGACCUCCUGCUUCUUGCUCUGGCA